Molecule: unclassified non-coding RNA, 343 nt
Filed under: uncultured Phlebia
Lineage: Eukaryota; Fungi; Basidiomycota; Agaricomycetes; Corticiales; Corticiaceae
Description: sequence contains ITS1
Rfam family: 5.8S ribosomal RNA (bases 1-105)
Source: RNAcentral
GAAAUGCGAUAAGUAAUGUGAAUUGCAGAAUUCAGUGAAUCAUCGAAUCUUUGAACGCACCUUGCGCUCCUUGGUAUUCCGAGGAGCAUGCCUGUUUGAGUGUCAUGAAAUUCUCAACCUUCAAAACUUUUUUGUUGCGAAGGCUUGGACUUGGAGGUCGUGUCGGCGUCGCUGUCGACUCCUCUGAAAUGCAUUAGCGUGAAUCUUACGGAUCGCCUUCGGUGUGAUAAUUUCUGCGCCGCGGCCGUGAAGUAUAAUAGUGUUCGUGCUUACAACUGUCUGCAAAGACAAUUCUUCUUGACAAUCUGACCUCAAAUCAGGUAGGACUACCCGCUGAACUUAA